RNAcentral lists this ribosomal RNA (476 nucleotides) under uncultured bacterium. RNAcentral's name for it is "SSU rRNA". It matches the Rfam family "Bacterial small subunit ribosomal RNA", at positions 26 to 523 of the family's 1533-position model. The record is from RNAcentral.
AGGACGAACGCUGGCGGCGUGCUUAACACAUGCAAGUCGAACGAGGUCCAACCUUCGGGUGAAGACCUAGUGGCGAACGGGUGCGUAACACGUGAGGAACUUGUCCCGGUCUCUGGGAUAACAGUUGGAAACGACUGCUAAUACCGGAUGACGUCGGAGCGUCGCAUGGCGCGCUGACGAAAGGGUUACUGGAUCGGGAGAGCCUCGCGGCCUAUCAGCUUGUGGUGGGUAACGCCUACCAAGGCAUCGACGGGUAGCUGGUCUGAGAGGAUGAUCAGCCACACUGGGACUGAGACACGGCCCAGACUCCUACGGGAGGCAGCAGUGGGGAAUCUUGCGCAAUGGGCGAAAGCCUGACGCAGCAACGCCGCGUGCGGGAAGAAGGCUCUCGGGUUGUAAACCGCUUUCAGAAGGAACGAAACUGACGGUACUUUCAGAAGAAGGUGCGGCCAACUACGCGCCAGCAGCCGCGGUAA